Molecule: ribosomal RNA, 530 nt
Filed under: uncultured Pelagibacterales bacterium
Lineage: Bacteria; Pseudomonadati; Pseudomonadota; Alphaproteobacteria; Candidatus Pelagibacterales
Description: bacterial SSU rRNA
Rfam family: Bacterial small subunit ribosomal RNA
Source: RNAcentral
UACUUAGUGGCAGACGGGUGAGUAACAUGUGGGUAUCUACCCUUUGGCCUGGAAUAACACGAGGAAACUUGUGCUAAUACCGGAUAAGUCUUUACGGAGAAAGCUUUAUGCACCAUUGGAUGAGCCCGCACUAGAUUAGUUUGUUGGUGGGGUAAUGGCCUACCAAGACUUUGAUCUAUAGCUGAUUUGAGAGGAUGAUCAGCCACAUUGGGACUGAGACACGGCCCAAACUCCUACGGGAGGCAGCAGUGGGGAAUCUUGCACAAUGGAGGAAACUCUGAUGCAGCGAUGCCGCGUGAGUGAAGAAGGCCCUUGGGUUGUAAAGCUCUUUCGUCGGGGAAGAAAAUGACUGUACCCGAAUAAGAAGGUCCGGCUAACUUCGUGCCAGCAGCCGCGGUAAUACGAAGGGACCUAGCGUAGUUCGGAAUUACUGGGCUUAAAGAGUUCGUAGGUGGUUGAAAAAGUUGGUGGUGAAAUCCCAGAGCUUAACUCUGGAACUGCCAUCAAAACUUUUCAGCUAGAGUAUGAUA